Molecule: unclassified non-coding RNA, 190 nt
Filed under: Entrophospora etunicata
Lineage: Eukaryota; Fungi; Glomeromycota; Glomeromycetes; Entrophosporales; Entrophosporaceae
Description: Claroideoglomus etunicatum partial internal transcribed spacer region
Rfam family: Eukaryotic small subunit ribosomal RNA (bases 1-46)
Source: RNAcentral
AAGUCGUAACAAGGUUUCCGUAGGUGAACCUGCGGAAGGAUCAUUAUAAAAUUUUCAUAUAUUAUUUAUUUAAUAUAUAAAAUUAUAUACAAAAUGUAUUCAAAACCCACACUCUUUAUAACCAUAAAAAAAUUUAUAUUAUUUAUAAUAUAAAAAAAAACAACUUUCAACAACGGAUCUCUUGGCUCUC